GACGAACGCUGGCGGCGUGCUUAACACAUGCAAGUCGAACGGAAAGGCCCUGCUUUUGUUGGGUGCUCGAGUGGCGAACGGGUGAGUAACACGUGAGUAACCUGCCCUUGACUUUGGGAUAACUUCAGGAAACUGGGGCUAAUACCGGAUAGGAGCUCCUGCUGCAUGGUGGGGGUUGGAAAGUUUCGGCGGUUGGGGAUGGACUGGCGGCUUAUCAGCUUGUUGGUGGGUGAGUGGCUUACAAAGGCUUUGGGGGGUAGCCGGCUUGGGAGGGGGACCGGCCACAUGGGGCUGGGGAUACGGCCCAGAUCCCAAGGGGAGGAAGCAGUGGGGAAUAUGGAACAAGGGGCGGAAGCUGGAGGCAGAAACGCGGGGGGCGGGAUGACGGCUUCGGGGUGGUAAACCGCUUUAGCAGGUGACGAAGUGUGAGUGACGGUAAUGGGUAAAGAAGCACCGGCUAACUACGUG
This 468-nucleotide ribosomal RNA is filed under the name uncultured bacterium. Its description in RNAcentral is "partial 16S ribosomal RNA". It matches the Rfam family "Bacterial small subunit ribosomal RNA", at positions 28 to 507 of the family's 1533-position model. The record is from RNAcentral.